GGAGGAAAGUAGGGGAUCGCAAGACCUUGCGCUCUUGGAGCGGCCGAUGUCUGAUUAGCUAGUUGGUGAGGUAAUGGCUUACCAAGGCGACGAUCAGUAGCUGGUCUGAGAGGACGACCAGCCACACUGGGACUGAGACACGGCCCAGACUCCUACGGGAGGCAGCAGUGGGGAAUUUUGGACAAUGGGGGAAACCCUGAUCCAGCCAUGCCGCGUGAGUGAAGAAGGCCUUCGGGUUGUAAAGCUCUUUCAGCCGGAACGAAACGGUCACGGCUAAUAUCCGUGACUACUGACGGUACCGGAAGAAGAAGCACCGGCUAACUACGUGCCAGCAGCCGCGGUAAUACGUAGGGUGCGAGCGUUAAUCGGAAUUACUGGGCGUAAAGCGUGCGCAGGCGGUUUUGUAAGUCAGAUGUGAAAGCCCCGGGCUUAACCUGGGAACUGCGUUUGAAACUACAAGGCUAG
RNAcentral lists this ribosomal RNA (465 nucleotides) under uncultured bacterium. RNAcentral's name for it is "bacterial SSU rRNA". It matches the Rfam family "Bacterial small subunit ribosomal RNA", at positions 198 to 644 of the family's 1533-position model. The record is from RNAcentral.